AGAAAGAAUAAAUCUUGUUGCAUGAAGAGUGAUUGGUGCAUGUGAUGGCCAAAUGAAGUAAAAAAGGGGUAAAAUGCAUGAAAGAUUAUUGGGUGUAAAUAAGGUUGAUUAAAUAUAAAAGAAUGUAAGAAUGGUAGGAUAUUGGUCAUUGAGAGUGGCGGUUGGAUAAGGAUAACGAGGGAAGGAUAUUCAACCAAUAAUGGAAAGGGAAGAUUGGUGCAUGAAAAAUUAUUGGAUAGUAGAGUGGAAUAAUAGGAUGCAUAAAGGAGCAAAAGGUAGUAAAUAACAAAAGGAAAAAGGAAAGACAAGGAAAGCUUAGAGAACUUUGGCAAAAACCGCACCUUAGAGAAAGAAGAAGAAGAGAAUUUAGUCUUUGUAAAGCUCUACUCGAAAGGAAGAGAGAAAAGAGAAGAAAACAGACAUUCAAGGGAAGGCUCAUUUUUGGAGAAAAUCUAACGAAAUCGUGAGGUUUCCUUUCCUUUACUUUGUUGAGUCUUGACAUCUCAUCACUCAAAGAGAACUUUGGAGAUUUGGAGAUGUGUGGCUUGAUUUCAUGAUUCAAGUGAGGAAAGGCAAGAAUUGUGAUUUUAGUUUAAGUAUGUUUUGAAAACUAAUUAGUAACAUUGGGAAAUGUUUAUGGCAGCAAAGGUUUCUAAGAUUUGAAAGAACUAGAUGCAUGCAUGUUAUCAACCUUUGGUUAAAUGGUGGAUUUAAGCCUUGAUGAUCAAAACUUAGAGACAUAUUGGAGAUGCAUGAAAAGUCCAAGCUAUUUUAAAGGUGUUUGAUGAAAGAAGAAUUUUAUGGAAGAAGGAGAGCAAUUUUAAAGUGUAGACUUUCAAUACACAUAUUUUUGUAUUUUGGCCAUAACUUUCUCUACAGAGCUCUAAAUGAAGCAAUUCUUAGACCACUGGAAAGAUAAGAGAAAGAUCUACAACUUUUAUGUUUACCACUUCACCCAGUUUGACUUGUAGAAUGGUUAAAAAUCUUAUUGAAAUUGACAUAAUGCAG
Molecule: long non-coding RNA, 1008 nt
Organism: Theobroma cacao (cacao)
Lineage: Eukaryota; Viridiplantae; Streptophyta; Magnoliopsida; Malvales; Malvaceae
Source: RefSeq, a predicted model, not a curated record